Molecule: RNA transcript, 1285 nt
Organism: Mangifera indica (mango)
Lineage: Eukaryota; Viridiplantae; Streptophyta; Magnoliopsida; Sapindales; Anacardiaceae
Exons: 11
Source: RefSeq, a predicted model, not a curated record
UUUAUGAUACAGCUGCCAAGCGCCAACCACAGAACCUGGAGACCUAAAAAGAUAUGUAAUCUCAAACCCAAAAUUCCAGUUUCAUUAUCUAAUUAUCAUGGCAUUCUGUAUGUCCUCAACAUUAUCUCCCUUAACAAAUUUAUGCUCUACCCAUUUCCAUAAACAACCUUUUCUUUCAUUUCCACUCUCUCUUUCCCGUUCUGUAGCCAACCAAAACCUUUCCAGCCUCUGCCUUGCCGCUAAGUCUCAAACGGGGCCCGUCAAGAAACAUUCGCCUAAUAACAAAAAGAAGACCAAGGACAGAAAUAAAAAUUCUAUAGAUGAAUUGAGUCUCAGUGAUGUUGAAAUUGUUGCUGAUAAUGAUUAUAAAAAUGAACCUUUGGAGCCUCUGCCGAAACCCCCUGCCGGUUUUGUUGUGGAUGAAUCUGGAAGGGUUCUCGUGGCUUCUAACAAGCGAAUUGCUACUAUUGUUGAUUCUAGCAAUAAUAAUCCACUGGAUUGUGUUAUAAGAAGAGUGUUUACAAGUUCACGAGGAGAUGAAUGCAUGCUGUUGUGCCCAGUUGACACGCCGGUUCAGAUAUUAAAGAGCACUAAUAUUGACGGGUGGUCAGCUGUCGGUGAUGAAGAAGUUGAAGCUAUUCUUCCUACAGCUGCCUAUGCUCUUGCCAAGAUACACAUGCAUCUAGUACAUAGCGGAUUCUGUUAUACGGCGCGGGGAGGAUUUUGCUACUCAGAUGAUGACAUAUUUGAUUUCCGCACAGAUGAUGGAGAGGAUGUAGAUGGCUUGCCUACAGAGGGGGUUGAAAUUACAUGUUUUCAUUUGGAUGGUGCUCAUUACAUGAUUUAUACUCCAUCUGAUCCACUUCUAUUUGUUGCUGUCAAGGAUGGUAGUGGGAUAUUGCAAAUUGCUGAUGACGACCGCAGUACGGAUUAGACGAUUGGUGCAGGACAUGAGUCACAAGGAUCUGUUGGAGGACCCAGCAGUGAUAAGCGCCAUAGAUGAAGAGACCGAAUUUAAUGCCUUGGUGGAGGAAGAGGCUGCUCUUCUUGAAUCUUUAUUAGGUAAAGAAAGAUAACCACGUUUCGACUGUCAGUUCAGUUCUAGUGAACCAUCUGCCUUGUAGAGAGAAGAGCAAUAAUAAUCAAAUGUUUCCUUUUCAGUGUAUAUAACAAGUUUUGUUUAAAUGUCAACUCGAUUGAGAAUUACUUUGGGGUUCUAAGGAUCAUUUAAACUGAAACAUAUUUAUUUAUUUUCUGAAUAUUAAAAUAAAAUACUUUAAAGAUA